UACAGAGGGGGCAAGCGUUGUUCGGAAUUACUGGGCGUAAAGGGCGCGUAGGCGGCCCGCUAAGUCGAACGUGAAAUCCCCGGGCUUAACCCGGGAACUGCGUCCGAUACUGGCAGGCUUGAAUUCGGGAGAGGGAUGUGGAAUUCCAGGUGUAGCGGUGAAAUGCGUAGAUAUCUGGAGGAACACCGGUGGCGAAGGCGGCAUCCUGGACCGAUAUUGACGCUGAUGCGCGAAAGCCAGGGGAGCAAACGGG
Molecule: ribosomal RNA, 253 nt
Filed under: uncultured bacterium
Lineage: Bacteria
Description: partial 16S ribosomal RNA
Rfam family: Bacterial small subunit ribosomal RNA
Source: RNAcentral